RNAcentral lists this long non-coding RNA (213 nucleotides) under Mytilus galloprovincialis (Mediterranean mussel). Lineage: Eukaryota; Metazoa; Mollusca; Bivalvia; Mytilida; Mytilidae. The record is from RNAcentral.
UAAGCAACAACUUCUGAUAUCAUAACCAAUUGUUGUCACUAUCUGUCUUAAAGUAAGUUUGAUAUCAUCAAUAGUAGGAACAGGUGUUGUAGGCAUCAUCAUCUGCGCUUGUUUGUUCUUUCUGUUUGUUAGUGUUGCAUCACCUGCCCUGGUAUCUGGUAUUAUGGUCCCCAUCUUCUUGGUUUGGACAGGUAAGAUCUCCAAGGAAGUUUC